This is a long non-coding RNA of Gossypium arboreum, 1686 nucleotides long. RefSeq lists it as uncharacterized. The transcript is spliced from 4 exons. Lineage: Eukaryota; Viridiplantae; Streptophyta; Magnoliopsida; Malvales; Malvaceae. The record is from RefSeq and is a predicted model, not a curated record.
GCUAAAAAACCAAAGAAACAAUAAAGAAAACCACCCACUGGAAACUAAACCAUAAAUGCAAAAAACAAAAAAACACCCUCAGCCAAAAUCAAAAGACAUUAAACUCAAAAUACAGUUGAAACAACUUCUCCCUUCUUGGUAAGAGACAAUUUUUCAGAUGAUAAGACAGAGAAACCCAAGAGCUUUGAGUCCAACCAUGGAGAUUCAAAGAACCUUUUCCAAUAUCAAAGUAGUGUACGACGAAUUUUGGUGUCUUAGAGACCGAUCCACCCGAUCCUUUUCCACUAUCAUAAUUACCGAGCUAGGAACCCCAUCAACCCAAAUACCAGAAUAAUGUCUUCUCCUUCGUUCCAUCGCCAGAAUGUGGGCCGCUCCAUUGAUCCGUUAGGGAACGAACAGCUUUUUGAUGACCAUCAGAGAGUCUCCUUCCACUAUCAAGCAUCGAAAACCCAUUCGAAGUGCAAAGAGUAAAAUCCUUUCACACGCCUUAGCUUCAGCCACGAACGCAUCAGCUACAUCCGUAAACAGAUAAGUUUCUGCUCCUACUAUUUCUCCUUUAGAAUCUCUAGCUAGGACUGCAGUUGAGGAAGUUUUAGAGUUGCUUUGAAAGGUUGCAUCAAAUUUUAAUUUGAUAAAACCUAGAUCUGGAGGCCUCCAAAAUUCAUUCGGCAGGGAAAUACAAGCCACUCCCAUUUUCUCUUGACAUAGAUUUAUUUCAUGACCAUAACCUCGAAUGAAUCCUAACAGUUCCUACAAAGAAAAACUAAUACCUUCAUAAAUAAACUUAUUUCUUCUGUACCAUAGGGCCAUAAGGAAAUUGCAAUAAGCUAUUUGUUUAGUUCAUCUGUAAAAAAAAAAAUUUUAAGAAAAUGAUUUUUGCAGCUCAAGGCAUUGUCAACUGGAGUGAUUUUGAUUUGAAGAGAUGCCCAGACACUCUAUAAAGUAUCACAGGACCAAAAUAGAUGAUCAGUAUCCUCUAGUGCUGCCUUUCAAAGGGGACAGUCUACUCUAACCCGUAAUUUUCUUUAAUUCAGAUUAUAGUGAUUAGGUAUAAAAUUGUUGAGUAACCUCUAAACAUGUAUUUUAACUUUUGCUGGUAUGUGAAUAGCCCAGAAAUACCUGUAAUCCUUGUAAACCACUGUGUUAGGAUUGAUGUAAUUUGUGUUUAAGCGAUGUUCUGUAAUUAAGAUCCGGUAUUCGCUUUUCACUGUAUAUUCCCCAGAGCCCUUGUGCUUCCAGGCCAUCGUGUCCCUCGAUUUAGAUCCAGAUAACGAAAUGGACAGAAUGCGAGCUAAAUGCACAUCAUCAACAAUAUUACGAACCAGUUCCUUAUUCUAGGAAGCCAAGGGGUAUUCCAGAUGUUAACGCUAGCUCUAUUGCCAACUCGCCAUAAAAUCCCAUCUUCAAUUAGAUCCCGAGCACUGCAGAUGCUCCUUCAGUGCCGCCUAAUUAGCUCGAAGAUCAUCGGACAUCGGAGGCAUCGAUCACACUAUCAACCGAAGCACUUGGUAUAGUUGGUUUUAUUAUUUUGAGUAUGGCAUGUAUAGGGCUUAGACUUUUGAGUUUUGUGUCAAUGUUAAUUUAGUAAAGGUGUUAGCUUGGCAUGAAUCCCUUAGUUUUGUAUAAAGCCUUGGAUAAUGGCUAAUAUUUAUUAUUGAUAUAUGCAAAUGAUGAUAUUUUCAUAAA